GGAUUGCCCUAGUAACGGCGAGUGAAGCGGCAACAGCUCAAAUUUGAAAUCUGGCGCAAGCCCGAGUUGUAAUUUGUAGAGGAUGCUUCUGGGUAGCGACCGGUCUAAGUUCCUUGGAACAGGACGUCAUAGAGGGUGAGAAUCCCGUAUGUGACCGGCCCGCACCCUUUACGUAGCUCCUUCGACGAGUCGAGUUGUUUGGGAAUGCAGCUCUAAAUGGGAGGUAAAUUUCUUCUAAAGCUAAAUACCGGCCAGAGACCGAUAGCGCACAAGUAGAGUGAUCGAAAGAUGAAAAGUACUUUGGAAAGAGAGUUAAAAAGCACGUGAAAUUGUUGAAAGGGAAGCGCCUGCAAUCAGACUUCGCGGCAGUGUUCCGCCGGUCUUCUGACCGGUUUAUUCUCUGUCGCGAGGCCAUCAUCGUCUCGGCCCGCUGGAUAAGACCUUGGGAAUGUAGCUCACCUUCGGGGGAGUGUUAUAGCUCAUGGUGAUGCAGCGAGGCUGGGGCGAGGUCCGCGCUUCGGCAAGGAUGAUGGCGUAAUGGUUGUCGGCGGCCCGUCUUGAAACACGGACCAAGGAGUCUAACAUCUAUGCGAGUGUUCGGGUGUCAAACCCCUACGCGUAAUGAAAGUGAACGGAGGUGGGAACCGCAAGGUGCACCAUCGACCGAUCCUGAUGUCCUCGGAUGGAUUUGAGUAAGAGCAUAGCUGUUGGGACCCGAAAGAUGGUGAACUAUGCCUGAAUAGGGUGAAGCCAGAGGAAACUCUGGUGGAGGCUCGCAGCGGUUCUGACGUGCAAAUCGAUCGUCAAAUUUGGGUAUA
Molecule: ribosomal RNA, 818 nt
Filed under: Sphaerulina chaenomelis
Lineage: Eukaryota; Fungi; Ascomycota; Dothideomycetes; Mycosphaerellales; Mycosphaerellaceae
Description: partial large subunit ribosomal RNA
Rfam family: Eukaryotic large subunit ribosomal RNA
Source: RNAcentral